UGGAUUAAAAGCAAGUUGUAAUAAUGACUGCAUACGGCUGAACACAAAAGCACUUGCACCACACAGGCGUUUGGGAACAACAUCUUCCAGAGCCAGGCUACUGUCUGUAGCCUGUGUCCUUUGCUCUGAUAGCUCUGAGGCCGUGGGCUGUUGCCGUUCUUGCUGAUGCAAUGCAGCGAGGGCUGGGGUGAAGGAGAGUGCAUACCUGUGUGUCAGAGGUAGGAGCUCCCCUUUGGCGAUGAUGGAAAGCACAGCAAAUUCAAAUCAAAGAUGAGAGGGGGUUGCUUUGAAUUGCUGUAUUCCAGAUGUAUCUGAGGCAAUCUCCCUCUUCACUGCACGUAUCGUGGUAGCAAGAGCAAAGAUCACAGCGUAGCCCAGGUUUUCAUUUGAACAUGUCCAGGCUGGCACACAGUUGAGGUGUCCAUUUCAUCUCAAAGGUCUUUCCUGGCUUCCUUUUAAUUGAAAUUCUUCACCCAAGUCUCACAUUCCUGAUUCUUUCCACUGCAAAGCCAUCAAAACCUUCCAGGAGGCUCCUAGUUUUCCUUGCAAUUCAAUAUGAUUGAUACAGGAUGUGAAAGAUCACUGGAUGUUAUCAACUACAGAUUCUCUCUCCUUGAAGCAGCAAGCUACAGGAUAAAUUGUGGAAUUCACUACUGCACCGCAUUAUUGAAGAAAAUAUUGUAUUUUGAAGAAAGUGCUCUCAAUUGUAAUCACCAAAUGAAAGCUUCCUGUGUGAUGUGCUGUGAGGCAUGAGAGGACUGGGGUCAGUGAGGAGUCUUCCUUGGUCCUUCUGUUUUCCUGUCCUAGAGCAGCAUGGUGCUGGGAGUAUUGCAGAGCCUUCAUCCCUUGGCAAGUCUCACCCCAUCAGACCCGUUACCAAGCUGCUAGUCAUCCAUCUUUAUGAAGCAGGAGCUCAGACACUACAGAAGAUGGACCGUGGAUGCAUUUACAAUUAUAAAGUCUUAGAUGGACUGUGCAAAAUGAGAUGGGACAGGGAGUGACCACUACUAGACACCAGGCCUCACUGGAGUGACAAUUAAUUCAGAGCACCAAGAGAGAGGGAAAUAUCUGACUGGCUGGAGCGGUGGUCUGAUGUGACAUGGCAGGAAGCAUGAUACUAAUGCAAAUCGUUAGUACUUAUUAACUAAUUAAAUUGUUGUAAUGCCCAUAAGGCACUUAACACUUUCCAGGCGCAGAAGAGAGCCCAGUCUCUGCCCUUAGGAGUAGAAGGUCUAAAAAGGUAAACACAGAGGAAUGGUGGAAGAAAAACAAUUAACAUAGAGCACAAAGGGUGUAAUGAGAAGAAGCGCAGGGCUUUGCAGUUACAAUCUAUGUCUGGUUUUGUGAAGAAAGAAAGCCUAUGUGAUUACAAGAACUUUGUGUAUGGGGGAGCAUGCGUGUAUGAUAAUAUGUCUGUCUGGUGCGUGGAUAAUUUUCAACUUCAAGCAAAUUUGAUGGAGGAGAAGCUGUCUCAGAAAUACUUAGUUGUUAAAAUGAGAAGCUGAGGGAAGGGAAGGGAAGGGAAGGGAAGGGAA
Molecule: long non-coding RNA, 1535 nt
Filed under: Gallus gallus (chicken)
Lineage: Eukaryota; Metazoa; Chordata; Aves; Galliformes; Phasianidae
Description: lncRNA (ENSGALG00010007238.1)
Source: RNAcentral